CUAUGCGCCUUGCCAGCCCGCUCAGGUGUGCCAGCAGCCGCGGUAAUACGUAGGGGGCAAGCGUUAUCCGGAUUACUGGGUGUAAAGGGAGCGUAGACGGCAGUGCAAGUCUGGAGUGAAAGGCGGGGGCUCAACCCCCCGGACUGCUCUGGAAACUGUACAGCUGGAGUGCAGGAGAGGUAAGUGGAAUUCCUAGUGUAGCGGUGAAAUGCGUAGAUAUUAGGAGGAACACCAGUGGCGAAGGCGGCUUACUGGACUGUAACUGACGUUGAGGCUCGAAAGCGUGGGGAGCAAACAGG
RNAcentral lists this ribosomal RNA (299 nucleotides) under uncultured bacterium. RNAcentral's name for it is "partial 16S ribosomal RNA". It matches the Rfam family "Bacterial small subunit ribosomal RNA", at positions 475 to 776 of the family's 1533-position model. The record is from RNAcentral.